CAUAGGCGGCUAUAGGCCCGGGCAAGCCAGGGCUUUGCCCUGGUAGUUUUCAACCAAAACCACACCCAAAAGCCACAACUGUUUAUACUUGCUAUCAGCUCCA
Molecule: long non-coding RNA, 103 nt
Filed under: Amphimedon queenslandica
Lineage: Eukaryota; Metazoa; Porifera; Demospongiae; Haplosclerida; Niphatidae
Description: uncharacterized LOC109587372
Source: RNAcentral